AAUCAACGCUGGCGGCGUGCCUCAGACAUGCAAGUCGAACGCGAAAGGUUCCUUCGGGGACCGAGUAGAGUGGCGCACGGGUGAGUAACACGUAGGUAAUUUGCCUUUGGGUGGGGAAUAACUCAGGGAAACUUGAGCUAAUACCGCAUAAUGCAGCGGCUCGACAUCGAGACAGUUGUUAAAGCGGGGAUUCGCAAGAACCUCGCGCCUAAAGAGAAGCCUGCGGCAGAUAGCUAGUUGGUAAGGUAAUGGCUUACCAAGGCGACGAUCUGUAACGGCCUGAGAGGGCGGUCGGUCACACUGACACUGACAUACGGGUCAGACUCCUACGGGAGGCAGCAGUCGGGAAUUUUGGGCAAUGGGCGAAAGCCUGACCCAGCAA
Molecule: ribosomal RNA, 382 nt
Filed under: uncultured bacterium
Lineage: Bacteria
Description: bacterial SSU rRNA
Rfam family: Bacterial small subunit ribosomal RNA
Source: RNAcentral